GAUGAACGCUAGCGGGAGGCUUAACACAUGCAAGUCGAGCGGCAAUCCCGAGCAAUCGGGACUAGAGCGGCGCACGGGUGAGUAACGCGUAUGCAACCUACCCUUUACAGGGGGAUAGCCCGUCGAAAGGCGGAUUAAUACCCCAUGGUACUACCGGAUCGCAUGGUUUGGUGGUUAAAGUUCCAACGGUAAAGGAUGGGCAUGCGUGACAUUAGUUUGUUGGCGGGGUAACGGCCCACCAAGACUACGAUGUCUAGGGGUUCUGAGAGGAUGAUCCCCCACACUGGUACUGAGACACGGACCAGACUCCUACGGGAGGCUG
This 322-nucleotide ribosomal RNA is filed under the name uncultured Bacteroidota bacterium. RNAcentral's name for it is "bacterial SSU rRNA". It matches the Rfam family "Bacterial small subunit ribosomal RNA", at positions 28 to 351 of the family's 1533-position model. The record is from RNAcentral. Lineage: Bacteria; Pseudomonadati; Bacteroidota.